RNAcentral lists this long non-coding RNA (4191 nucleotides) under Olea europaea (common olive). RNAcentral's name for it is "long non-coding RNA (OEUR_LNC005266)". The record is from RNAcentral. Lineage: Eukaryota; Viridiplantae; Streptophyta; Magnoliopsida; Lamiales; Oleaceae.
AAAAAGGCCCAACCUUUCAUUUCCUAAUACCAUAAACAAUGGAUGUACAGAAUACAUUUCAAUUUCUCUCUCUCACCUUUUCCACCGUCACACUCCGACGACGGCACCACCGAAAAUUCACGCCUCCUCUUUUCUGAUAACUUUUGCUCAACUUCUUUAAAAAAAAAUUGAAUUGAAAAAUUGGUUGCAUCAACCCAAAGGCUGAAUUUCUUUCUUUUUCUUAACUCACCCCGUACUCUGGCUACAACAACACCCGAUUGCAGAUCAUGGGCAGAAGCUUUAUAGGUAUUCGAUUGUUUGAUUCGCCAAGUUUCACCAGUAGAAGGCGUGGAUGAGUUUGUAAGUGUCGUUCAUUUUUUUUCUACCAGUUAUUUAUUUAUUUUUUUCCUUCUUUUUGUUUGGAUGCAUUUUUUUAGCAUUCUAUUUAUUCAUACUCGGGAAAUGGGUCUAAGCCACUUCUUAGGUUUUUUCUAAAUUUUAUUUGCCCAAUUUCUUCAGUCUCUGUUUAUUUUCUGUGUGCCGUGGAAAUGUAUCGUUAAUGGAUUGCACCAAUUCAAUUUGUAUUUCUAUAGAAGUACAGAAAGAACCCUUAUCUAUAGAUUUGCAACAUUGACAUUGCUAAAAAUUAUCUAGUCACUCUGCCAAAUUCAGGUUUUGAUAAUGUGUAUAUGGUUGCUGUAUGUGUUUAAAAUUCCAUGUCACAUGAAAGCACAUUUUCUUGAAUGCUAUGCUGCUGAAAUUUUCACAACCAUUGAUGUCAGACUUCUGUACCAUAUUAAAUUUUAGGAUUAAACCACAUCUACAGCACAUCAUGGUUCAUAGCCCCCUCACAAUGAGGGGACCUCACCUCGGUUUUAUUUAUUGUUAAUAUGUGCGGGCCCCCUCCGAUGUGAGGGGGCUGUCAACCGUGCGGUGUGUUGAGCUGUGCACACAGCACGGUCCUAAAUUUUAAACAGAUAGAUGCUGCUGCAAAUUAUGAAUGCUAUCAGUGAACGUUGCAGCAAAUUGAGAAAUGAUGACUUACCAAUUUUGAUUUGCUAUAAACAAGUUUUUAGGGAAAACAUUCAAAUUAAUCAAGAAUGCAUUACAGGUAGCUACUGUGAACUUUUAUGACAGACAACAAUAUCAUCACUUUUAGACAAUAAAGUUUCAAAUGGCACACCAUAUUAGCAUUUUGGCUGCUAAUAAUAGCUGAAACAAUUUUACAGAACAUGUGUUAUUCUGGAUCUCACUGUUGCACUUCAUUACAAUAUCAACAAAAAAUAUGAAGUCUCACAUUGGCAUGUUUGUUUUCUAUUAUUUACCCAUUAAAAUGAAAAAUACGACCAUUAUCCAUCACAUCAAGUCACCAUAUUUGACUUUCUAUCUCUUGUGGGGUUUCGUAACAACUAUAUUUUUCAUUCUUAUUUUUACAUUAAUGUGUACCAAACGAGCUCUAAUACCCAAUAGUUUAUAAAAUAAAACAUUUUGAUCUAUUUUUUUGUAGUUUCUCUUUAACCAAAUCAUUCACUUCUAAAGGUUUGUCCUGUCACUUAUGUGUACGAAUUGUUGAUAUUCUGCAGAAUUAAAGAAUGUAUGAUGCCUAGCGUCUUGUGUUUAUUAAGUUGACACCAUUCUGUAAAAUUAAACAGUAACAAUAACUAGUUAAAAAGUAAAAUCCAACCAAUCAUAGAAAAGAGAAAGUUGGUAUUGAUUAUAAAAUUCUUGUUGAUGGAAUUAGUUUUUCUUUGAAAACAAGUUGAUCCCCAUAUUCGUUUUUAUUUGUCCUUAUAUAUUAUUUUAGAUUUACUGGUCAAGUGAGCAAUUUUUUUCUUAUGGUUUUCUUAAGAAAUCUAAACAUAGCUACCUCAUUUGAGAGAGAUAUAUAUAUUCAUGCUUCUAGAAACAAAUAUGGAAAGCAUAAUCACUUGGCAUUUAUCUGACUUUAUUUCUUUGUAAAACAAGUAAAGCAAAAGUUCAAUUAAAAUAAAAUGAAAUUAGUGAAAUACAAAUCUGAAAACGAAUUAAUUGAAGAAACACAAACACGAGCACACAGAGAAACUUAUAUAUGGCACGCUCCUCGUAUAUAGAUAAGUUGUACAUCAUUCAUAGAAGAUUAAUGUUAUUUGCAAUCGCUCACUAUCUUAGUCGCUUACUAUCGUAGUCGCCCUGUGUGACAUACAUAUGACGAUUAGUGAUUUGAUACAUUAAUGUGGUAGUUUUUAUUACCUUAUAUAACAAUUCAUUAACCUCCACAUGUUUGUCACAUAAGAUAACUGUGGCAGUAAGCAAUUGCCCGUAGCUUUAUUCUUCAUAGAAUCGGUGAAAAGUUAGAACUCUGUUAUCUUUAUUAAUCUUCAUUGUCCCAAAAUUCUUGCACUAGAAUGUUUUUCUCAUAUAAGUAUUUUGCUAGAAAUAUUGUACUGUUCCUUUAUUUCAAAACAAUAUUUCUACUUUUUCUCUCAAAUAAUCUGUUUGAUAAGGUCAAAAUGAUUGUUUUAUCUAUAAUUUUAAUUGAGAAAACUAAUAAGAUCCUUAAUUUAGGGGGUUUCCUCAAUUGAAAUUGGAAUGAAUUUUAAAAUUCUUGUAUAUUCAGGUGAUCUCAAUUGAGAUUUUAAUGAAUUUUAAUGAAAUCUAUUAAAAUUUAGGAGUUUUCAAUUGAUAUUUAAAUUAAAUUCAAUGAAAUUCUUUAAAAUUUAGGUAUUCUUAAUAAUUAAUGAAUUUAUAAUGAUUUCAUUAAUAGAAUGGUUUUAAAAGAUUUGGAUGGAUUUCAAAUUUAAAAAAUACAUAUAAUCAAAACGAUCAAAAAAAGAAAAAAAAAAAGUACAUACAAUCAAAUCUUUUCAAAUUUCAUCAUAUUUGAGGAGAUUUUUAUAGAAUUUGUGGAAAUCUAUUCAAAUUCACGAAAUUUUGUUACUGUUUAUAAUCUUUUAAAAUCUAUCAAAAUUUUAGUUGAAGACACCCUGUCAAACUUUGGCCAUUACAAGAGCACUAUUUUGAGAAAUUGCUUAUCUUAAAAUGCAACGUGAAAAGUUAAAAUUGUUAUAAUAAGCGAUUUUAUUUCUCGAAGGGGUUAUUCUUUGAUGAUCAUAUGAUAUACUAAAGAACCACUGCAAUACAAAGUACAUUGAACUUAACGUCGGUAUAAUUUUUGCACUUGAAAAGGUUGUAUGGAGAUUUCAGAUGUUUGAGAAAAAGAAAGCCGACUAAGAGAUGAUAAAAUGUUUCGAUCAAAUUAAUUGUCACUAAGAUCAAGGGCAUUUAAAGUUCUCAACCUUGACAUUGCUAAUAAUGUGGCGAGAUUAUUUAAUCCAACAUCUGCAAGUGAUGGCGAGGGGGAAAACGAAUGGAUGGAACUAUUGUGCCAACAAAUUGAGGUGUUGAAACAACAUGUUAACAAUUUUCUAUCUUGAUAGUCUGACAAUCACAGAGAUGCAUCGGUUUGUAAGUAGGAGGAGGAGGGCUCUGACGACGAUGAAUGCCUUUUGUUCCUUCUAAUUCUAAGCCAGAGAUGAAAUGUUACUUUUUUAUGAUGCUUUAUAAUUGAUAAGUUCACAAAUACAUUGACGACCAUCCAAUUUGGGAGGAGGAACCUAAUGUUAAUUUGGAGAAAUGGUCCAUAAAAUCCAACUUUAACCUUAAAGCUGCUGAAGUUAGUAAAGCUAGUUUUCGAAAGUAAGUUUGGUGAAGUUGGCUACUUUUACCACCAGUCAAAAUUUUCACCUCCAUCGUGCACUAAUCUAGAAUUUUGCAAUAAUAUUAAUUAUUUUACACAAAUAGUUUACAGUUUUUUUAAUUAAUUUUAUGUUUAAGAUUACAAAUUUGGAUAUUUGGUGAUCUUCACGUCGAGGACAUGUUAAAUUUAUCUAUUUAUUAUUUAUUUAAUUUUUUUGUAAAUAAAUAACUAGCGAAGCAUUAAUAUAAAUCUUUUCGUUAACCAAAUGUUUGAUACUCAACUUCAAUAAUUGUUACACCAUCAAAUCACGUCAAAGGAAAACCUGCAACUGGUUCGUUACUUCGAAUGAUCAAAUCUGGGAAGAAAAAAAAAUGAUAAAAUUGAUUAGAUAGAUGAUAAAAAUAUAUUAGUUACAAAAAAGUUAGUAUAGUAUAAAAUGAUCUUCAUACAAAAUUACAGCAGGUACCUUCAUUUUGAAUAUGGGAAUACUUUCCAGAACACUUGGCCCUCAGAAUUGGAUUGUAUAAAUCUCAAUG